This 338-nucleotide ribosomal RNA is filed under the name uncultured Glomus. RNAcentral's name for it is "SSU rRNA". It matches the Rfam family "Eukaryotic small subunit ribosomal RNA", at positions 759 to 1092 of the family's 1831-position model. The record is from RNAcentral. Lineage: Eukaryota; Fungi; Glomeromycota; Glomeromycetes; Glomerales; Glomeraceae.
GAAAAAAUUAAGAAGUGUUUAAAGCAGGCUCACGCUUGAAUACAUUAGCAUGGAAUAACGAAAUAGGACGUUUGAUUCUAUUUGUUGGUUUCUAGGAUCGACGUAAUGAUUAAUAGGGAUAGUUGGGGGCAUUAGUAUUCAAUUGUCAGAGGUGAAAUUCUUUGGAUUUAUUGAAGACUAACUACUGCGAAAAGCAUUUUGCCAAGGAUGUUUUCAUUAAUCAAGAACGAAAGUUAGGGGAUCGAAGACGAUCAGAUACCGUUGUAGUCUUAACCAUAAACUAUGCCGACUAGGGAUCGGAUGAUGUUAAUUUUUAAUGACUCAUUCGGCGCCUUACG